RNAcentral lists this ribosomal RNA (490 nucleotides) under uncultured bacterium. Its description in RNAcentral is "partial 16S ribosomal RNA". It matches the Rfam family "Bacterial small subunit ribosomal RNA", at positions 30 to 507 of the family's 1533-position model. The record is from RNAcentral.
AUUGAACGCUGGCGGCAGGCCUAACACAUGCAAGUCGAACGGUAACAGGAAGAAGCUUGCUUCUUUGCUGACGAGUGGCGGACGGGUGAGUAAUGUCUGGGAAACUGCCUGAUGGAGGGGGAUAACUACUGGAAACGGUAGCUAAUACCGCAUAACGUCGCAAGACCAAAGAGGGGGACCUUCGGGCUUCUUGCCAUCGGAUGUGCCCAGAUGGGAUUAGCUAGUAGGUGGGGUAACGGCUCACCUAGGCGACGAUCCCUAGCUGGUCUGAGAGGAUGACCAGCCACACUGGAACUGAGACACGGUCCAGACUCCUACGGGAGGCAGCAGUGGGGAAUAUUGGACAAUGGGCGCAAGCCUGAUGCAGCCAUGCCGCGUGUAUGAAGAAGGCCUUCGGGUUGUAAAGUACUUUCAGCGGGGAGGAAGGGAGUAAAGUUAAUACCUUUGCUCAUUGACGUUACCCGCAGAAGAAGCACCGGCUAACUCCGUG